CCUACGGGUGGCAGCAGUGGGGGAUAUUGCACAAUGGGGGAAACCCUGAUGCAGCGACGCCGCGUGAAGGAUGGAGUAUUUCGGUAUGUAAACUUCUAUCAGCAGGGAAGAAACUGACGGUACCUUAGUAAGAAGCCCCGGCUAACUACGUGCCAGCAGCCGCGGUAAUACGUAGGGGGCAAGCGUUAUCCGGAAUUACUGGGUGUAAAGGGAGCGUAGACGGUGAUGUAAGUCUGGAGUGAAAGGCGGGGGCCCAACCCCCGGACUGCUCUGGAAACUAUGUGACUGGAGUGCAGGAGAGGUGAGCGGAAUUCCUAGUGUAGCGGUGAAAUGCGUAGAUAUUAGGAGGAACACCAGUGGCGAAGGCGGCUCACUGGACUGUAACUGACGUUGAGGCUCGAAAGCGUGGGGAGCAAACAGGAUUAGAUACCCGUGUAGUC
This 440-nucleotide ribosomal RNA is filed under the name uncultured bacterium. RNAcentral's name for it is "partial 16S ribosomal RNA". It matches the Rfam family "Bacterial small subunit ribosomal RNA", at positions 338 to 795 of the family's 1533-position model. The record is from RNAcentral.